RNAcentral lists this ribosomal RNA (229 nucleotides) under uncultured bacterium. RNAcentral's name for it is "partial 16S ribosomal RNA". It matches the Rfam family "Bacterial small subunit ribosomal RNA", at positions 568 to 796 of the family's 1533-position model. The record is from RNAcentral.
UGCGUAGGCGGAUUGUUAAGUCAGUGGUGAAAGUCUACGGCUCAACCGUAGAAGUGCCAUUGAUACUGGCAGUCUUGAGUACAGUAGAGGUAGGCGGGAUUUAUGGUGUAGCGGUGAAAUGCAUAGAUACCAUAAAGAACACCUAUAGCGAAGGCAGCUUACUAUGCUGUAACUGACGCUGAGGCACGAAAGCGUGGGGAGCGAACAGGAUUAGAUACCCUGGUAGUCC